CCUACGGGAGGCUGCAGUGAGGAAUAUUGGUCAAUGGUCGGGAGACUGAACCAGCCAAGCCGCGUGAGGGAGGAAGGUACAGAGUAUCGUAAACCUCUUUUGUCAGGGAACAAAGACUGGGACGCGUCCCCGGAUGAGUGUACCUGAAGAAAAAGCAUCGGCUAACUCCGUGCCAGCAGCCGCGGUAAUACGGAGGGUGCGAGCGUUGUCCGGAUUUAGUUGGGUGAAAGGGUGCGCAGGCGGUUUGUUAAGUCAGCGGGAAAGCCCCGGGGCUAAACUCCGGCCCGCCGUUGAAACUGGCAGUCUCGAGUUGGAGAGAGGUAUGCGGAAUGCGCGGUGUAGCGGUGAAAUGCAUAGAUAUCGCGCAGAACUCCGAUGGCGAAGGCAGCAUGCCGGCUCCACACUGACGCUGAGGCACGAAAGCGUGGGUAUCGAACAGGAUUAGAUACCCCAGUAGUC
Molecule: ribosomal RNA, 459 nt
Filed under: uncultured bacterium
Lineage: Bacteria
Description: partial 16S ribosomal RNA
Rfam family: Bacterial small subunit ribosomal RNA
Source: RNAcentral